CCAGGUCUUGACAUCCACCGAAUCCUGUAGAGAUACGGGAGUGCCCUUCGGGGAGCGGUGAGACAGGUGGUGCAUGGUUGUCGUCAGCUCGUGUCGUGAGAUGUUGGGUUAAGUCCCGCAACGAGCGCAACCCUUGUGAAUAGUUGCUACGAAAGAGCACUCUAUUCAGACCGCCGUUGACAAAACGGAGGAAGGUGGGGAUGACGUCGAAUCAUCAUGCCCCUUAUGACCUGGGCUACACACGUACUACAAUGGUCGUUAACAGAGGGAAGCAAGGCCGCGAGGUGGAGCGAACCCCUAAAAACGAUCUCAGUUCAGAUUGCAGGCUGAAACUCGCCUGCAUGAAGAUGGAAUUGCUAGUAAUCGCGGAUCAGCAUGCCGCGGUGAAUACGUUCCCGGGCCUUGUACACACCGCCCGUCACACCAUGAGAGCCGGGGACACCCGAAGUCGGUUGGGUAACCGUAAGGAGCCCGCCGCCGAAGGUGGAAUCGGUAAUUGGGGUGAAGUCGUAACAAGGUAACCAAGCC
This 528-nucleotide ribosomal RNA is filed under the name uncultured bacterium. RNAcentral's name for it is "bacterial SSU rRNA". It matches the Rfam family "Bacterial small subunit ribosomal RNA", at positions 974 to 1506 of the family's 1533-position model. The record is from RNAcentral.